AGCUUGUUUGGUUUGCUGGAAGAAAGUGAAUGUCAUGAAGUCAAGGAGCUUGCAUCUGUUGUCCCUGAAUCGGAUGGACUUGUAAUGUGCUGUGUAUAUAUCCACAUAAGAGAGGCAAUGCUGAUUGAAAUGGAUAGGGAAGGUUUUGGAACCCUUUCUACAAGAAGGAACUGAAAUUGCUGUGCUUUGAUGUGAUUACCGAGGAGUAAUCGAGAUUUUUUUUUUUUUGUUACUUCACCUAAAUAGUAAAACUGUAAAUACCCGUUUUGGAAAGAUCAAAAUAAAACGAGAGUUAACUUCUUGAAUAUACGAUCGAUUGAUCGAUCUUUUAGUCAGACGUACAGUACAUUGUUUUCGUCUUGCACGUACCGGUUGUUAUGAUCUAAUACCACAAAGUGGUGGUUGUAGAAAAUAAAUGAACUUUGUUAC
Molecule: non-coding RNA, 429 nt
Organism: Erythranthe guttata (spotted monkey flower)
Lineage: Eukaryota; Viridiplantae; Streptophyta; Magnoliopsida; Lamiales; Phrymaceae
Source: RefSeq, a predicted model, not a curated record